RNAcentral lists this long non-coding RNA (639 nucleotides) under Daucus carota (carrot). RNAcentral's name for it is "long non-coding RNA (DCAR_LNC006915)". The record is from RNAcentral. Lineage: Eukaryota; Viridiplantae; Streptophyta; Magnoliopsida; Apiales; Apiaceae.
GAUUAUAUAAAUAAAUCUACCAUUCGUAUUUCUAAUUAUCUUGAAUAUAAGAAAUAUAAUGAUUUCCACCAAUUCUCUCUCUAUAUAUAACUGAUUCUGUCUUGCGGUUUUUACUUCUCAAAUAAUUAUUAAUACCAAAAGUUUACAAAAGCACAUUCUCACGAACUUGAGUUCCUGACAUGUGUUCAGGAAACUACCAAAAGAAACUACCAUUUAAUAAGCAUCUUCUUCCUCCAAGACUAAUGAUAUUCCACCGCGAUAUUAUACUUAUCCUGACAUUAAUAUACUAUCAUGUGCACAAAAAGAUGAUGGUAACUUGUGUCAGCUUACAGCAUAGUAUCAUAAUACACCACAAUGUUUAUACUCAGGGAACACCAUUUUUGAAUUUAACGUUUUUCGAUUACUGUUAAUAAAGAGGUAUUAUUUUAGUUACAACCGUAACUGAAUAAGAAAUUGAAUUCUAAUGAAAAAAAUUAUAUGUAUUAAACAAGGAUUAGUAAGUGUUUCAGAUUAACCUGCGUUCAAGAAGAGAUUCAAAGAGACAGAUAACUUUCGUUGAUAGAUAACCAUUCAACACGUUGGCUUCCAUAUCAUCCCUUAUGGACCAGUCAGGAUCUAAGGAAUAUAAAAUGUAGGGAA